This 305-nucleotide ribosomal RNA is filed under the name uncultured bacterium. RNAcentral describes it as "bacterial SSU rRNA". It matches the Rfam family "Bacterial small subunit ribosomal RNA", at positions 335 to 658 of the family's 1533-position model. The record is from RNAcentral.
ACCCUACGGGACGCAGCAGUGGGGAAUAUUGCACAAUGGGGGAAACCCUGAUGCAGCGACGCCGCGUGAGUGAAGAAGUAUUUCGGUAUGUAAAGCUCUGUCAGCAGGGAAGAAAAUGACGGUACCUGACCAAGAAGCCCCGGCUAACUACGUGCCAGCAGCCGCGGUAAUACGUAGGGGGCAAGCGUUAUCCGGAUUUACUGGGUGUAAAGGGAGCGUAGACGGCAGGGCAAGUCUGGAGUGAAAGGCGGGGGCCCAACCGUGGGACUGCUCUGGAAACUGUGCGGCUUGAGUGCGGGAGGGGG